Molecule: long non-coding RNA, 19044 nt
Filed under: Populus tremula
Lineage: Eukaryota; Viridiplantae; Streptophyta; Magnoliopsida; Malpighiales; Salicaceae
Description: long non-coding RNA (PTRE_LNC001730)
Source: RNAcentral
GAGGGGAGCUUGUCCGGUGCGUGCAGCGGCCUGUGAUGGCUGCCGGUCGGUCGGCUAGAGAAGAAAAUCAGAACCAUGGGGGGCUGUUUCGGAGGAAAGAGAUGAGUGUGGCUCAGCUAAUCUUGGUGAUGAUGAGAGGGAGAGGGGAUGGUGAUGGCUAGCUUUGGCCGUGUGUGGGAAUGGGCGGCUGUUUUUAAGAAGGAGAGAGAGGGUGCAGUGGCAGGGGCAAGGGAAGGAAUGGUCGGGUCUGGUCUCUGUUUGGAUGGGGGGUGAGCGGCGGCUUCUCCCGGGUGAAGGAGAAGAAAGCUAAGUCUUUUUUAGGGUUUUUUCUCUUUGGUGUUGCCUCCCCUUUAAUUGCAAAAUUGCCCCCCCUCAUCUUUUUGCAAGUGUUGGAAACCAGUAUUUAUAGGCAAAAAAUGUUGCCAAGUUUUUCAACUUGGUCCCUCAACUUCUUUCUUUUUUGUAAAUUUUGAUUUUUCUUAUUUUUUUGUAUUUUUUUGAAAACGAGCAAUAUCAACGUCGACUCAACGAGGAAAAUUAAUGAUUUUAAAAAUGACGCGUGAAAAGUUGAACGCGUUUGAAAAUCUUUUAAAAAUUUAAAUUCUUUUUUUUUAGACAACGUUGAAAAUGCUAAAAUGACGAAAAUAUAUUAAAAAACAUAUUUUUUGGAUUUUCUUUGUUUUUCUCUAUUUUUGAAUUUUUUUGAAAAUAUAUCAAAAACAUGGGUCAAAAAAUGGGUAGCAACAGAUGCCCCCUCUUUACAAUGCUUACGAAGCAAAAAUCCUCAAUGUUUUGCAUAGUAAGCUUUGUAAAGAAAACAAAAGGAAAAUAAUUUCAUUAUCUUGGGCGACCUGCCCACACACUCACACUAGUCUAUUUUCACGGGCGACCUGCCCACACAUACUCACUCUGGUCUAUUUUCACGGGCGACCGACCCACACUCUCACACUAGUCUAUUUUCACGGGCGACCUGCCCACCCAUACUCACUCUGGUCUAUUUUCACGGGCGACCUGCCACACAUACUCACUCUGGUCUAUUUUCACGGGCGACCGGCCCACACUCUCACACUGGUUUAUUUUCACGGGCGACCUGCCUUUUUAAUUGGGUUUACCUGAGAUCCCAUCUGGCGACCUCAUUCAAUUGGAACGAAAUAUGCGUAACUCGGUUAACCUGAAAUCCCAUCUGGCGAUUCCCUUUAACCAAAGCUACAUGAGAUCUCAUCUGGCGACCUCAUUUAACUGGAACUAAACUGUAUGUAACUCGGUUAACCUGAAAUCCCAUCUGGCGAUUCCCUUUAACCAAAGCUACCUGAGAUCCCAUCUGGCGACCUCAUUCAACUGGAACGAAAAUAUGUGUAACUCGGUUAACUUGAAAUCCCAUCUGGCGAUUCCCUUUAACCAAAGCUACAUGAGAUCCCAUCUGGCGACCUCAUUCAACUGGAAUGAAAAUAUUGUGUAACUCGGUUAACCUGAAAUCCCAUCUGGCGAUUCCCUUUAACCAAAGCUACAUGAGAUCCCAUCUAGCGACCUCAUUCAACUAGAAUGAAAAUAUUGUGUAACUCGGUUAACCUGAAAUCCCAUCUGGCGAUUCCCUUUAACCAAAGCUACCUGAGAUCCCAUCUGGCGACCUCAUUCAACUGGAACGAAAAUAUGUGUAACUCAGUUAACUUGAAAUCCCAUCUGGCGAUUCCCUUUAACCAAAGCUACAUGAGAUCCCAUCUGGCGACCUCAUUCAACUGGAACGAAAAUAUUGUGUAACUCGGUUAACCUGAAAUCCCAUCUGGCGAUUCCCUUUAACCAAAGCUACAUGAGAUCCCAUCUGGCGACCUCAUUCAACUGGAACGAAAAUAUUGUGUAACUCGGUUAACCUGAAAUCCCAUCUGGCGAUUCCCUUUAACCAAAGCUACAUGAGAUCCCAUCUAGCGACCUCAUUCAACUAGAACGAAAAUAUUGUGUAACUCGGUUAACCUGAAAUCCCAUCUGGCGAUUCCCUUUAACCAAAGCUACCUGAGAUCCCAUCUGGCGACCUCAUUCAACUGGAACGAAAAUAUGUGUAACUCAGUUAACUUGAAAUCCCAUCUGGCGAUUCCCUUUAACCAAAGCUACAUGAUAUCCCAUCUGGCGACCUCAUUCAACUGGAACGAAAAUAUUGUGUAACUCGGUUAACCUGAAAUCCUAUCUAGCGAUUUCCUUUAACCAAAGCUACAUGAGAUCCCAUCUGGCGAUCUCAUUUAACCAAAACAAAAGAAUAUGUAAAAAAACGGUCUCAUUGUAAUGGGUGACCUACCCAUGUGGAAAGAAUAUGAAAAAAAAACGGUCUCAUUAUGAUGGGUGACCUACCCAGAUGGAAAGAAUAUGAAGCGUGGUCUCAUUAUAAUGGGUAACCUACCCAUGUGGAAAGAAUAUGAAAAAGCGGUCUCGUUGUGAUGGGCGACCUACCCAAAUAGAAAAAAUGUGAAGUGCGGUCUCAUUGUAAUGGGUGACCUACCUAAAAAAUGGAAAAAAUAUGAAGUGUGGUCUCAUUGUAAUGGGUGACCUACCUAGAUGGAAAAAAUAUGAUGAAGUGCGGUCUCAUUGUCAUGGGUGACCUACCCGAAUGGAAAAAAUAUGAAAAAGCGGUCUCGUUAUGAUGGGCGACCUACCCAAAUAGAAAGAAUAUGAAGUGUGGUCUCAUUGUAAUGGGUGACCUACCCAAAAAAUGGAAAAAAUAUGAAGUGUGGUCUCAUUGUAAUGGGUGACCUAUCCAGAUGGAAAAAAUAUGAUGAAGUGUGGUCUCAUUAUCAUGGGUGACCUACCCGAAUGGAAAAAAUAUGAAAAGCGGUCUCGUUGUGAUGGGCGACCUACCCAAAUAAAAAGAAUGUGAAGUGCGGUCUCAUUGUAAUGGGUGACCUACCCAAAAUGGAAAAAAUAUGAUAUGACAAAUGUGAAAAAUAGGACUUACCUGGCGAAGUCCUGAAGGGAUGACAGAAGCAGGGCUGGAAAACUUGGUGCUUCCUGAUAAUUCCCGAUCAUAGGGUUUGAAAAACUCGGUGUUUCCUGGCUGCAAGGGUUGAAAACUCGAGGCUUCCCGGUUGCAAGGUUGAUCUAUUCAUUUCUUUGGGAUUUUCCUAAUGGUAGGGUUCAUCUCAUCGUCCUUUUAUUCCAUGAUCAAAACCGAUUCUUUAUUAUCAUCACCACAAUGCUUCUUUCUCUUUCCACCAUCUUGCUGGACCUAAUUAACGAUUUUCCUGUAACAAUUCAAAAAUAUGUGCAAAUGGUUUUUUUUUUUUUUUUGAGGUUAGAUGACAUGCAUGCAUCCUUACCUGAUUUGAAACAUAGGUCCCCACCUCUUUGAUGCUCCAUCGUCAUAGGGUGCUCUUGUUUGUAUCCCAAAGCUUUCUUUGUUCUUCCGAUGCAUUGGCUCAUUCAUGUGCUAGCCAUCCACUCAGCUGUAAAUACAAUGCAUAUCUUAGGAUGUCUUCGACGAUUACUGCUCUCGUUGUUCAUCAAGCUUGACAAUGCCCCCAAGUGUGGUGUGCUUGAUUUCAUGAAGGAUUUUCUCUCUUGGAUUCUUCUGAGAAUUAUCCUUCUGAUUGAUUGUGUGUCAUGCCAACACCCAUCAAGAUUGUUAACAGUCAUGAACUUGCCUUCGUUGAAACAAUACCUUCAAGUACAAGUUAUCACAGCCUUCAUGGAACAUCCAGUCAUCCAGACAUGCAUCUCAUGCUUUGCAGUAAACAACUCAUCAUUGUAAGCGCGAUGUAUUUCUCUAUGGAUUCCUCUUAGCUUGUCAAAUCAGAUCGUGAAAUAACUGCUUUGGCAUCAUCAAUGAUGUUCAUGUUAUCACCCAUAUUCAUGCGGUGAAGUGCGCAUUUGAGCUUCAAAUAGAUGGUCCCAUAGUCAAUCUUAGUGGUAUGCAUAUGUUCGAUGUUCAUUCAAAUGCACUCACCCGAUAACAUCUGUCAGAGUCAUAGCCAUGUUUUACAGGGUAACCCAAGAUGAAGAUAUGAAAAUAUCUUUCUAGUGCAGCGUUGCUCAUCAAUUGCUGCUGAAGUGCACUAGAUCAUGGAUUGUCUUUGAACAACAUUGCCCUAAUAUGAUCUGAAGGUUUGUUCAUCGGUUUAUACUCAAGAAGGUUUUUCCUUGUCAUUGUCAGAUGCUAAACAUAACUUUGAUGAACUUUGACGACUCAUCAUAUGAUUCUUUCUUUGCCCCAGCUGAUCAGAAUGUUGUUUGUUUUCCUUCUUAGGGUCCACUGUAUUGCCCCUAAGUGGACAACCUUUCAAGGAGUUCUGAGAAGUUGAUGUCAUUUCAUGUCAAGGAUUCCGCAAACUCAAUAUGUUCUUCUUUGUUUGACAAUCUUUUUGUUCUAGAAUCAAAUCUCACACUUCAAAGGUCAUGUCUAUUCAAAUUAAUUGUUGAAAUGAAAUCAAAGAGAUGUCUGUUUUUGAAAUUAUUAUUUUUUCUUUUGAAAUUCAAACUUCUUUGGUCAAAGACCCAACACACUAUUCAAUGCAGUCCUUUGAUUGUCUUGUAUUUUGAAAACAGAAAUGACCCGUUGUAAGAUUUAAAAAUGACUUUUUCAUGGUUCUUUGUGUCCACUUUAAACUCUGAUUUUGGGUAUAUCUUUUGAUGGUCUGCGAUGAGGUGACCUUCUGUGAAUUUGAAGGAAAACAACAGGCUCAAGUCAAAACUUGAGGAUUCAUCAAGGAAAACUGUUUUGUUUUUUUUAGCAAUAAUUUUAUCAACAUGCAUAAUGACCAGUAGCUUAAUUCAUGAAGACUCUUACGGAAAAAACUCUUCAAGUUUUGAAAGCGUCAUUUAUCGGUUCAAGUUGCUUGCUUGAUUAAAAAGGGCUUUUAAAAGCACGUAAUGUAGGCUAUGGUUCAUGGCUAUAAAAGAAAGGAAUUUCAUAGGCUCAAAAGGUGUUUGAGGGUUUCAACGACCUAGGACCAACAUUAACAAUUCAUCGAUUCUCUUUCUCUCGUCAUCAUUGUUGUAACCCAUUUUUAGGUCCCAUGAAAAAUAAAAUAAAUAGCAAAAGAGGUUAGAAAAAUAACAGGAGGCAGAAGCGCUCAGAAAACAGUCAGAAAUUGGUCAAGGAAUUUUAAAAUACAAGGAUUGAAUUUUUGACAAAUAUUCUAAAGGAUGAAAGCCCUAUUGAGAAGGAAAAUUUGAAUUUUGAGGAGAAAAGCCCAAAUUUGGAUGUUUAUGGAUUUUAAUUGGAUUUUUAUUUGAAUUUAUAGAAGAUUUGAUUGCAAAAAAAUGAUUUUAAGUCAAUUUGGGCUUUAAUUAGAAGAAUUUAAGUUCUGGGGCCAAAAUAUAUUUUUUAGGAAUUUAUUAGGCCAAAUCAGGGGCUUAAUUGAAUAAAUAUUGAAUUUAAAUGGCCAAUUAGGGGUUUAAUUGUGAAAAACCGAAACCAAGGACCAAUUGAAAAAACCGGGUAAAUAGAGGGGCUGUUUGCUUUGGAUCAGGGGCCUAAUUGAAGAAAUUGGAAGUUUAUUGAUCAAUUGAGGGCUUAAUUGCAUAAAUCAGAGGUCAAGGACCAAAGUGAAAAACGCGGCCAACAAGAGGACGGGACCGAAUUGGCAGGGACGCAAUUGAAAUGAUUAAAGAUGAUUAAGGACUGAUUUGCAAAAGCAUAUUCUGGCGCCUUUUUUUUUUAAAUGAAACGGCGCGUUUAUCCAAAAGGACGUCGUUUCAUACAUUAAAAAAAAAAGGGACCGAACGGUGCCGUUUGAACGGCACUGUUCCUCCUUCGUCUUCCUCUCUACACUCGUGGGAACAGCCACAGCUUCGCCGGAGCCGCCGUCCGUGAGCCACGACACCGCCACCGGCCUCCACCAGCGACCGCCUCCUCCAUGCCAGGUACACAUUUCAUUUCCCUCUGCAUUUCUUUUUGCUCGUUGCAGCUUUGCCUCCUGCAUGCUGCAUGCAGGAGGCGGGGGGGGAGAAAAAUAAUUCUCCCCCCGCUGGGCUGCCGAUGCUGGCCCAGCUCUGAACGUCUGGGCCGGUCCAGGCCCAGACUGAAGAAGAAUUUUCGGUUGGGCGAGUUCGGCCCAACCUUUCUUUGUUGGGCCGAGGCCGGCCCAAUUAUUUGGGCCGGCCCAGCCCAUAUAUAAUAUAUUAUAAUAUUAUAAUUAUAUAUGUGUAUAUAUGUAUAUAAUAAAAAUAAAAAAAAUAUUUAAAAAAAUCUUUAAAAAAUAUUGUUGAUUUUUCUGCAUAUUUUUGUCAAAAAUGUUUUAAUUUUGGUUUGUAUUUUUAUACGUAAAGAUACAAAAAGUAUUAAAAUACCCGGUUUUCGUCAAAACAUCAAAGAUUUUCAGAAUAAAAAAUGUUUUUGCUUUCAAAAAAUUCUAAAAAGUCCCUAAAAAUGUUGUUGAUUUUUCUGCAUAUUUUUAUUGGUUUAAUUUUGGUUUGUAUUUUUAUACCGUAAAGAUACAAAACCAGUAUUAAAAUACCCGGUUUUCGUCAAAACAUCAAAGAUUUUCAGAAUAAAAAAUGUUUUUGCUUUCAAAAAAAUUCUAAAAAUUAAAAAAUUGUUGAUUUUUCUGCAUAUUUUUUAAAGGAUUAAUAUUGGGUUGUAUUUUUAUACCGUAAGGAUACAAGCUCAGUAUUAAAAUACCCGAUUUUCGUCAAAGCAUAAAAAAAAUAAUAUUUUCUAAAAAAUUGUUUUUGUUUUAAAAUACGGCCUAGUCUCUCCAAUAUAUAUAUAUAUAUAUAUUAUAACAUAUUUUCACACAACAAAGAAAAUUUUCAAAAAAUAUAUAUAUUAACAUGCAUUUUGGCUUUAAUAACCAGUUUAUUCAAGCCAUGAGAACUAGGCCAAUAUUUCAAAAAUUCUAAAAAAUCUUUUUGUUUUAUUUUAGUAUUUGGGAUUACGAAUUUAUACGUAAAACGUAUUCCUAAGUAUUAUUAAUAAAAUUUUGGUAUGGACGUUAGAACGGUUAGGAUUUUUACCCGAUAAGAUAAAAGACCUUCUUACUGAGGAGGAUUUUUCUUGAACCAUAGACAGACCAACAACUAGGAAACACAAACACUUUAGUUUUUUUUUAUCAGACAAUAAAACAAUGCAGCUUACCUUAGGUAGGGCGUAUUUGGGGUGCUAAUACCUUCCCUUUACGCAACCAGUCUCCGUACCCGAUCUCUGAGACCAGUUAGGUUCCUAGUGACCAAAAUACUAGGUGGCGACUCCAAAGAACCAAAUAAAAAAAUAAAAAAAUUUCGCCAGUCGAACCCGCAAGAUGAUUUUUUUUUGGGGUGCGACAGAAUGGCGACUCCACUGGGGACCUUGUAGACUAAGCUUUGUUUUUGUCUGAUUUGUUUGUGUUUUCCUGUGUUUAUUGUUAAUAUGCCUUUCCUUUUAUUUAAUAUUUUUUAUUUUACGCGUUAUUAUUCAUGCAUUGUAUAAAUUGUCUCAUGCAUCACUUGCUUAAUUUUGAAAAGCACACACAAGCCUUAAGUUAAGUGGGGAAUUAGCGAUUUACCCUAAGACUAUUGGUCAGGGUUUAAAUGCGUGAAACACCCAACUCAUAUCUGAGUGCCUGCUUGGUAAUGGGGACAUACGUGUCUUAACUGUUCCUUGCAACGCCCCCAUACUUCUUUACGAAGAACGUCACUGGGCAGAUAUGAGACCCUUCAGACCAGAUAGAAAACUACCCACUCUCACUUAAUAAAUAGAGCUUGUCCUUAGGUUAUGUAUCUUUUUGCAUCAAGAUUAAUACUCAUCGCACAUCACUUGUGCAUCACAUUUUCAUCACGCAUUUUGUUAUCAUAUGCAUUACAGAUCGUGAAACAUAGGUCCUACAUCCAGAGUCCACCAAACCCGGUCCAGAUCAAGAAUGGAAAACGAAGAAAGAGCUCAUUAGAGUCGCACUACCAGACCGAGUUGGAAUCCGUGUGAAUGAAAUGUUUCUCGACUGACCAAUCUGCUUGAGCAACUUUUAAGAGCCAAGAACGGGGAGGGAACAUCUACCCAACCACCUAUAGGAGCACCGUCAGUUCAUGUCCGGGGGUAUCUCAGAACUUGGGGGCAGAUUCAGUGACGGGGCAGCACUUUGCACCUACCAUUCCCAUUCAGCCCCCUCAAGCUCACAUCACUGUGAAGGGCCUCCGAUAAUAGGUCCGGAUUUAUGAACGAUGACAAGAUAUCAGCCUUGGAAGAAAGGUUAAGAGCAGUCGAGGGAAAUGACUGGUUUGACCCCAUGCGAGCAUCUGAAAUAUGCUUGGUACCAAACAUCACGAUACCAAAAAAAUUUAGGAUACCGGAGUUUAUAAAGUACACUGGGUUGGAAUGCCCAAACACUCACCUUCGAUCUUAUUGCAAUAAGAUGGCUGAGGUGAUUCAUGACGAUAAGUUACUGAUCUACUUUUUCCAAGACAGUCUAUCGGGGUCGGCGCUAAGUUGGUACAUGAGGCUGGAUAAUGCCAAGAUCAAGAAAUGGAAGGAUUUAGUUGAGGCUUUCCUUAAGCAAUACAAGUUCAAUUUGGAAAUUGCUCCAGAUCGAACGAGCCUUAUGUCAAUGGAAAAGAGAAGCCAAGAAUCAGUAAGGGCUUAUGCGCAAAGAUGGAGGGACGAGGCCAUGCAUGUGCAACCCCCUUUGAUAGAAACGGAGAUGGUGACUUUGUUCGCCAAUACAUUCAAGGCACCCUACUAUGAGCAUUUAAUGGGUAGCUCAUCUCAACAUUUCUAUGAUGUGUACGCAUAGCGGAAAGAAUAGAGCAAGGGAUUAAAGCUGGACGCAUAAUUGAGCCAUUGGAGACAAAGGGUUUUUUCGGAAGAAAAAUGAAAGGUCCCGUUAACAACUUCGAAGGUGGGUCCAAUGACAAGAUAACAGAUUCAUAUAACCCACAAAUACCUACCUCUCAUGUGGCCCACAUAAACUUUAACAAACCUUUUUCCCCUAAUCGAGCAAAUGGCCAGUCAAACACCCAAAACAACCACCAAAGACCAAACACAAGAUACAUUUCAGAACAACUACCGCCAUUACCCAUGCCUCUGAAGGACAUAUAUGCCAAACUACUGAGCAUUGGACAAAUAGCUCCUAUCCCUACAUUACCACUACAGCCACCAUUCCCCAUCUGGUAUAAGCCCGAGUUGACUUGCGAGUACCAUGCUGGUAUUCCCGGGCAUUGUCUUGAAACGUGCUACGGUUUCAAGAACAAGUUGUUGAAGCUCAUCAAGAUAGGAUGGGUGUCAUUUGAAGACACCCAAUAUCAGUUCAAAUCCAUUGCCUGGUCAUGACAAAAGUGAUAGGGGAUAAAGGUUGGAAAACCUUGGUCAAGAGUCGUCAAUAAUGAAGAAGGCGAGAUCGAAGGAGAAGACAAGGAAACAAGUGGGGAAGGAAGAUGAAGCAUUGCCUCGGUUGACUUUCCACACACUAGAAGAAGUUUCAGAACGGGUUGACCCAAGAACUUCUCGUAGUUUUCAAAAUGUAAAACAACUUUAUUUGCCUUAGCAUGUUUUUGUCAUUUGCUUUUGUCUUUGCUUUUAUUUUCUCUAGUGGCAUCAGAGCUCAUAUUGUCAGCCAGAUUUUGUGUUUGUCUUUGAGCUUACCUUUUCUUUAAAUAAAUGAUGAGUUUAUGCAUUUUUUUAACAAGUUUGAGUGGUUACAAAUAAAGUAUCAUAAAAUGGUUUAAUAUGAAAUUUAAGAAAAGCUAACCCUAAAGUACAACCCUAUCUUGAUAGCAUAGGAUGGAUAAAUGUUUAAGUGGUCACUUUGUAAUUGUUUUUAAAGAAUAGAGUUUAUCAACCAUAACAAUGGCAUUUUGAAAAAAAAAAAAAUCAUUAUCUAUUCACUCACUAAAAGUUUAUCACCGGCUGAAUGAAUUGCUUCUCUAUAUAAAAACCCAGACUAAUAUCGCACCCCUAUACUAGGGGGCAAGACGAUGUUUUAUGAAAAGUUUUACGUGUUUAAAAUUGAUAAGCUAAAUUUGAAAACCAAGCUAAAGCAUUUGACAAAAGCAUGACAAAGGCAAAUACAAGUCAUACAUUUUGGAGAAAAGGACUACUUGAAGAAAGUCAAAGACUUCUUCUCCAAGAAUAUGAUAGGCAACACGAGAGAUGAAUCCAACAUGCGACUUCAAAAGCAAAGUUCAUGUUAAGAGGGAGUCUCAUGAACUAGAAGAAGAGGAUGGGGCCUAUGUUUCAAAACCAGGUACGAAUGCAUGCAUUGCAUCUAAUCAUAAAUCAUUGCAUGUAUGUUUUUCUUGGAUCGUUAUAGGAGGAGAUCUUAGCGCAUUCCAACAAGAUUAUGGACGAAGAAAGAAUCAUUGAGUUGAUUGUAGAACAACAGAUAAUGAUUUUCAAACCCUGCCAGCAGGAAGAACGACAUCGAUAACAUUUGGUUAAAUCGCCAAAUGGGAUUCCAAGUUGUGGAGAUCGCCAGAAGGGAUCUCGUAUUUUCGAUGGAGGUCACCAGAAGGGACCUUAAAUUUCAGCUUUCGUAUAAAAGGAAUAGCCAGAUGGGAUUCCAGGUUGUUUGGUAAAAGGAGAUCGCCAGAAGGGAUCUCGUAUUUCGAUGAAGGUCGCUAGAAGGGACCUCAUAUCUCAGCUUUGAAUAAAAGGAAUCGCCGGAUGGGAUUCCAAGUUAUUCGAGAUCGCCAGAAGGGAUCUCGUACUUCGACAUUCAUCAAGGAAGGUCGCUAGAAGGGACCUCAUAUUGAAACUAUUUCUUAGAAAAGCAUGGAGUUUACUAAGAAUUCUUCCCCUUGGGUAGGUCACCCAUACAAUGAGACCAUUAUUUUUUCUUGGGUAGGUCACCCAUACAAUGAGACCAUUAUUUUUUUCUUGGGUAGGUCACCCAUACAAUGAGACCAUUAUUUUUCUUGGGUAGGUCACCCAUACAAUGAGACCAUUUUUUUUCUGGGUAGGUCACCCAUACAAUGAGACCAUUCUUCAUUUUUUUUAUCUGGGUAGGUCACCCAUAAGAAUGAGACCAUUCUCCAUCUUUUUUUUACCUGGGUAGGUCACCCAUAAGAAUGAGGCCAUUCCUUCCCCUGGGUAGGUCACCCAAAGAAUGAGACCAUAUUUUUUCUGGGUAGGUCACCCAUACAAUGAGACCAUUAUUCCCCUUGGGUAGGUCACCCAUACAAUGAGACCAUUUUUUUUUCUUGGGUAGGUCAUCCAUACAAUGAGACCAUUAUUUUUCUGGGUAGGUCACCCAUACAAUGAGACCAUUCUUCAUCUUUUUUUACCUGGGUAGGUCACCCAUAAUAAUGAGGCCAUUCUUCCCCCUGGGUAGGUCACCCAAAGAAUGAGACCACUCUUUCCCUUUUCCACUCGGGCAGGUCACCCAUCAUAAUGAGACCACACACACAUUUUUUGUAUUGGUUAUGGGUAAAGGAAUCGCCAGAUGGGAUUCCAGGUUAAAGGAGAUCACUAGAUGGGAUCUCGGAUGGAUUUCCAUGUUGAUCAAACUAAAGUAAGAAUUCAGAGGAUCGCUGGAUAAGGAUCUCGAGAUGACUAAGUUUUGAUCAUAGUUUUGGGCUAAGGAGGAUUGUUAUAAAAGACAAAGUUUCAGAUCAAUUAAGCUUCGACCAGAUCAGUUUCGAGAAUUCCGUUUUGGGGUUUAUCUUUAUAACACUUACUGCUCAAAACCCAUGCUCCGUAAGUAUUAUAAAGAGGGGGCAUCUGUUGUAACCCAUUUUUGGGUCCCCAUGAAAAAUAAAAUAAAUAGCCAAAAGAGGUUAGAAAAAUAACAGGAGGCAGAUGCGCUCAGAAAACAGUCAGAAAAUUGGUCAAGGAAUUUUAAAAAUACAAGGAUUGAAUUUUUGACAAAUAUUCUUAAAGGAUGAAAGCCCUAUUGAGAAGGAAAUUUUGAAUUUUGAGGAGAAAAGCCCAAAUUUGGAUGUUUAUGGAUUUAAUUGGAUUUUUAUUUGAAUUUAUAGAAGAUUUGAUUGCAAGAAAAAAUGAUUUUUAAGUCAAUUUGGGCUUUAAUUAGAAGAAAUUUAAGUUCUGGGGCCAAAAUAUAAUUUUUAGAAAUUUAUUAGGCCAAAUCAGGGGCUUAAUUGAAUAAAUAUUGAAGUUUAAUGGUCAAUUAGGGGUUUAAUUGUGAAAAACCGAAACCAGGGACCAAUUUGAAAAAACCGGGUAAAUAGAGGGGGCUGUUUUGCUUUGGAUCAGGGGCCUAAUUGAAGAAAUUGGAAGUUUAUUGAUCAAUUGAGGGCUUAAUUGCAUAAAUCAGAGGCCAAGGACCAAAGUGAAAAACGCGGCCAACAAGAGGGACGGGGACCGAAUUGGCAGGGACGCAAUUGAAAUGAUUAAGGACUGAUUUGCAAAAGCAUAUUCUGGCGCCUUUUUUUUAAAAUGAAACGGCGCGUUUUAUCCAAAAGGACGUCGUAUCAUACAUAUUCUGGGCAAUUGAAAAAAUGUUUUUUUCUUCAAAAUCUUCCCGCCUCUCUCUCCUUGGACCCACCGACCAACCUGAAACACUGGACCACCGACCGAACUCAAUGGCCGACCACCGGUCACUCGCCCCGCCGAAAGCAAGGUGGCGGUGCUUUGCCUUGCAGAUGGUGGCCGACCAGCCGCCCGCGAAACCCGCUCCCCAUGCACACUAAUGAAGGGCCCAGCAACCUUUCUCUCCUAUAAAUACAGAAGAAACCGAAGGGAAAAAAAAAACCCGAAGGGAGGAGAGAGAGAGGAAACUGAAGAGAGAGAGAGACGACUGGAAAACAAAAAAACUGGGGAGGGACGUUUUCUUAAACAGAACCGAGAAGAGAAGAGAGUGAUCACGGGUUAAACGAACCGAGAAAGAAGGAACGAAAAACAGAGGAGAAGGGAAGAGAACGAAAUCUCUCUCUCUCCGCCGCCUGGGAACAGCCACAGCUUCGCCCGGAGCCGCCGUCCGUGAGCCACGACACCGCCACCGGCCUCCACCAGCGACCGCCUCCUCCACGCCAGGUACACAUUUCAUUUCCCUCUGCAUUUCUCUUUUGCUUGUUGCAGCUUUGCCUCCUGCAUGCUGCAUGCAGGAGGCGGGGGGGGAGAAAAAUAAUUCUCCCCCGCUGGGCUGCCGAUGCUGGGCCAGCCCGAUGCUGGCCCAGACUGAAGAAGAAUUUUCGGUUAGGCCGAGUUCGGCCCAACCUUUCUUUGUUGGGCCGAGGCCGGCCCAAUUAUUUGGGCCGGCCCAGCCCACAAUAUAUAAUAUAUUAUAUAUUAUAAAUUAUAAUAUAUUAUAAUGUAUAUAUGUGUGUAUAUAUUGUGUAUAUAUAAAAAUAAAAUAAUAUAUAUUUAAAAAAAUCCUUCUUUAAAAAUACUGUUGAUUUUCAUGCAUUUUCGUCAAAAAUGGCUUAAUAAUGGUUUGUAUUUCUAUAUCGUAGAUAUAUAAAUUGAGUAUUAAAAUACCUCGUUUUCGUCAAAACCUCAAAGACUUUUCAAAAUAAAAAAUGUUUUCGCUUUAAAAAAAAUUCCAAAAAGUCCUUAAAAAUAUCGUUGAUUUUCCUGCUUUUUUUUAUUAAGGUGGAUUAAUAUUGGGUUGUAUUUUUAUACCGUAAGGAUACAAACCCAGUAUUAAAAUACCCGGUUUUCGUCAAAACAUCAAAGAUUUUCAAAAUAAAAAAUGUUUUUGCUUUCAAAAAAAAAUUCCAAAAGUCUUUAAAAAUAUUGUUGAUUUUUCAUGCAUUUGUUAUUAAGGUGGAUUAAUAUUGGGUUGUAUUUUUAUACCGUAAGGAUACAAACCCAGUAUUAAAAUACCCGAUUUUUGUCAAAGCAUAAAAAAAUAAUAUUUUCAAAAAAUGUUUUUUUGUUUUAAAAUACGGCCUAGUCUCUCCAAUAUAUAUAUAUAUAUAUAUAUAUAUAUAUUAUAACAUUGUAUUUUUAUACAACAAAGGAAAUUUUCAAAAUAAUAUAUAUAUUAGCAUGCAUUUUGGCUUUAAUAACCAGUUUAUUCAAGCCAUGAGAACUAGGCCAAUAUUUCAAAAAUUCUAAAAAAUCUUUUUGUUUUCUUUUAGUAUUUGGGAUUACAAAUUUAUACGUAAAACGUAUUCCUAAAUAUUAUUAAUAAAAUUUUGGUAUAGACGUUAGAACGGUUAGGAUUUUACCCGUUAAGAUAAAGACCUUCUUACCGAGGAGGAUUUUUCUUGAACCAUAGACAAACCAACAACUAAAAGUACAAUAACACUUUAGUUUUUUUUUUAUCAGACAAUAAAACAAUGCAGCUUACCUUAGGUAGAGCGUAUUUGGGGUGCUAAUACCUUCCCUUUACGCAACCAGUCCCCGUACCCAAUCUCUGAGACCAGUUAGGGUUCCUAGUGACCAAAAUACUAGGUGGCGACUCCAAAGAACCAAAUCAUUAAAACAAAUAAAAAAAAAAUUUCGCCAGUCGAACCCGCAAGAUGGAUUUUUUUUGGGGUGCGACAAUCAUUGUAGAGAAAGUGACAUAUAACCUUGUUAAUCUCAAAUAUCAGAAUUCUAUUAACAUAGGUCAUAAUGCAAAUCCAGCUUUUUCUUUGAUGAAUAACCAAUCUAAAAAAAAAAAAAUUUGAAGACAUUAGAGGCUUUAUCCUAGACACACCAAAAGACAUGAAGCAUCGAUUUUUCUAGUGUUGACUUUUGGCAUUUAUUGUCUUUUCUCAAUUGAAAACUGCGUUGCCUCUCUUAGAAUUGAUAGGCAUUCUUUUUCCAUUUCUUUUUUUACUUGUCUUUAAGUGAAGGCAAAUUCAACUCAUAGCCUUCUUCAAAAUUUUCUUAUAUGCCCCCAGUCUAUGUGUUUUCUUCUCGCGCUCUCUCAAUCAUUAGACUUUUAUUCUAAGCCUUCCCCUUUAUCCAUUAAUUAUAUCAACGUCUUCAAAAUAUCUCUCAUUUGCCCCUAGUAUGGGGUGUGAUCCUAGUCAGGGUUUUCAUGAAAAGAUAUUUUAUUCAGCUCAAAAUGGGACUACAAGGGAUAUAAUCUUUAGAAAGUGAAGGGAUAUCAAAGAUGGCCUUUCCUCAUCUCAAGCAAGGUUGGUUAGAACCGAUAAAUUUUGACCCCAUCCAGUGUAAUGAUUGGGACUUGUAAGAAUCAUGAUUCACGAGUCCAUAACUACCGAAUCCACUACAUGUCAUUAUGCAUACUGUUAAAACUUAGCUAUAUGAUGUGUGGUUCAGUUUCAGGAGGUACGAGUUCAAAAUUGUUUAGUCACCUCAUGUUAUUUCCAAGCAUAGAGUCAUUUCUGUAAUCAAAACACUUUUAAUCUUCCGGAUUGAUUAACCUUUAUCGCAUGUUGGAGUUUGAUCAAAAUAUUUUGUCAGAAUAAAAUGUUAAACAUCUGUUGAUUUCAAAACAACAAAGAGACAAAAGCAAAACAUGUUUCAGUAAAGGAUGAGAUGUGAUCCCAAAACAAAAUGCAGAAUUCCAAAACAAUAUGAUUGACUGUUCAUCACCAUUCUUGAAUCAGAUUUUCUGGCAAUAUCAGUGUUCGGCCAAGCACUUUCGAUCAACAUGUCAUUCUGAGGAUGUUCUGGUGACAACAUGAUUGAUUCCAUCAUCUUUCACAAACUCAGCUCGAUUCUUGAAACUCUUGUGUCUGUUCAACUUAAAUGGUUCGGGAACCCUCUAUGAUAUUCACAUCUGGUUUGAAUUAUACCACGGUGGUUGCAUGAAAUUUGUCGAAGUCUGGGACACUAAGUCUGAAAUCUAGCAGUGCUGGUAAAUAAACCCAUAUGGCAAAGGAAUGUAUAUCUUUGGCAAAGACAUUGGCGUAGUUGAUGCUUGAGCGAGACUUUACCAGGCAAAAUAACUGAGGUUUCUCAAUUGAGAGUCAUCUUCUGAUUCAACUCUCUUCACGGUUCUGGAAUCCAUGGCAGAUCCUUCAAUCUUUCCUCUAUUCAUAGCUUGUUCAAUUCUUUGGCAAAUCCUCACAACAUCAUUUUAAUCUUCCAAUGUUGUUGUGGUUGGUUGAGGAUUGUUAGAAAACUUUCCAACGGCUUGGUAAUCUUGGCAGCGCCUAGAAACUUGUGGUAUCGCCACUACCGACACGUGGAAUCAUGCCUUAUCUCUUCUAUGGGAGAAAACGAUGAACAUGAAUCUCCUCUAUUUCUUCUUCGAUUCCUCUCGAAUGGUGCAGCAAACAAGCACCUAUAGAGGAAGUCCUGGUCUGUUGAAGUUUCAGUAUUCUUCAUGUUUUUUCAGUCUAGGCAUGUCUCUUCUCUCUACUUUUGCGUUUUAAUACUGAAACUGUUGGAGAAAAAUCAUAAAUGAUCUGAAACUGUUGUAUUCCUUCUUGGAUUUCCCACUUGCAGAUCCACAAAUAGAUUCCUGCCGGGAGAGCUCUGCUACGUUGAAGUUUGAUGUCUAAUCAUAUUUUUGAAACCAAGUCUGGCUCUUUAACCUGCUACAGUUUCUUCGUGCUGAAACUGAUGAGAGAAAUAUUUGUAGCAUAUGCAAUUAGUAAAUCCCCUCUUGCACUCUCAACUUGCAGAGCCACAAAUAAAUCUCUACAGAGAGAGUUAUACCACGUAGAAGUUCAGUGUCUGAUCAUGGUUUUUCAGACCAACAUCUUGUGCUGCUGAACUGGAAUUGAGCUCAUAAUUGGGGUAACUUCAAAGCAAACUAAUGCACCAUGUACAGGAGGCUAGUAAUUGUUUGGUUCCAUUAGAUGAUGUGGAGGCGAUAAACACUUAACAGUGCAACUGGACAAGAAUCAGAGUUGUCGUUAGUUGAUGACUGAAGGCAUUGUUGUUGUUGUUCAUGACUGAAAAGGAGAGAUACAACUUCAAUUGGACGUGGACAAGCAGUGUUCCCACAAAAGAUUGUGCAGACAUUCUCUUUCCAUUUGAUGCUCAACACUUGUUCGAGCAGAUCUGAGUCUAGCUACUUCACCUUUGAUGCUCUCAAACUCAAUCUGAUAAUAAGCCUCUAUCUGACAUCUUUCUUCACUUUCAUCCUUUCUUCAAUCACUUGCAGCACAGCUUGUGCGGGGAAACCUACUUUUCGACCCGGUACAUGCAUGAUAAAUGUAUGAAUAUGUAAUCUAUAUGACGAACUCACCCUUCGAGGGGUGACAAUAUGGUCGUAAUUCUUGCAUGAUGGAACAAGAAUCGUGAUUUUUGCCCAAACUCUACAAUGAAAAUUUCCUAAGUGACGGCCAAUGUGUCACCCACAAGUCUUGAGUUCAAGAUACUUCAAGAAGGGUUUGCUCGGAUGCAAAACAAUAGCACAUACAUCCUAAAGACAGGCUCUAUUCUUUUUACAUGAGACAAAGGGUAGGUUUGCUACUUGGUCUCUAAAAAGAUCUCUUGUUGUCCCAGUGAUCGCCCUCGUAAAGGCAAUAUAGGGGCCCAGUAGGUAAUGGGUUGGCACGUGUCCAACUAUUACCAGUCUAAGCACUCAACAAAGAGUUGGGGUUUACACAAACUUAAACCUUGACUCAAGUCGUAAGGUAAGCUGCUAGUCCCCCACCUAACCUAAAGCUGGUGUGUGCUUUCAAAAAUUAAAACUUGUGAUGCAUGAGAGAAUUAUAUACAAUGCAUGAAUAAAACACAAAUAAAAUAAAACAAAGUACAAAAAAAUAAAUCAAACACAUCAAAACACAAAGCUUAGUCCGAUAAAGUUGAAAACAAUACCCUUCCCUAGUGGAGUCGCCAUUCUGUCGCACCCCAAAAAAAAUCAUGGCGCGCGACAUCGGCUGGUGAUUUUUAUCAUUUGUGUUUUGCUUGAAUCGGUUUGUUGGGAGUCGCCACCUAGUAAUUCAUUGAGGGCUACUAGGAAACCUGAUGUACUGGUCUUGUCAGAGAUCGCGGGUAAGGGACUGGUUGUGGUUAUGGAAGGUAUUAGCACCCCUAACACACCCUACCUGAGGUAAGCUGCUUUGUGUUAUGAUAUGAUUUGAAAAUUUCAAAUAUUAAUUAAAUUCUAAGGCUUGAAUAAAUCAGUUAUUAAAUCCCCGAAUAUAUGUAAAAACUUGUUCUUAUAUUUUCAUGGAAAAUACAACUUGAUUUUAUUUGUCCUUGAGAUAUUUAAUCAUAUUUAAGAAAAAUUUAAAAUAUUAAUUAAAUUCUAAGGCUUGAAUAAAUUCAGUUAUUAAAUCCCCGAAUAUAUGUAAAAAACUUGUUCUUAUAUUUUCGUGGAAAAUACAACUUGAUUUUAUUUGUCCUUGAGAUAUUUAACUAUAUUUAAAUUAACAAUUAAUUUUUUUUGUCCUUUUUUUUAUAUAAUUCAAUAACAUAACUAAAAAAAACAAACACACACACAACUUUCUUUUUAUCAUUUAUUUUUCUUUUCUUCUUCUUUUUUUUUACAUCACCAUACAAAUACAAAUACAAAUACAAAAUCAAAAUCAAAACAAAUAAAUAAAAAUUACAUUAAUUAAUUUAAAAAUUACAAAAUAGUCCCUAAAACUCCAGAAAUUGCAUUGAAGACCUUCUAGCGCCGCAGCAACACUGCUGGAACAGUGGCGGCGCGUCUUCCCACGCGCCGCCGUCACUGGCGGCGCGUGGGUUCACUCGCCGCCGACCAUGCUGGAAACGGGCGGAUCUGCCCUGUUUUCUCCUUCUCUUCCCCUCCCUGCCAGCUGUGGGGAACGCCUUCACCUGCAACACCAGAAAUACACACAACACAAUCGGUUUCAAUUUUUUCUUAAUUUUCUCAGAUUUUUUAGUUUCCUCCUCUGUGGCAGAUCUGGUUGUGAGGCGUCUUCGGUGCUGAUGGCUGUUGGAUCUCGGCGUGUGGGCCGCUGGCGAGGACGGCGCUGCUGCUGCUAGCGGUGGAGAUAGGAGCCGCUGUCGAAGGGAACCGAUCUGCGGUUCUGUUGUGCCACUGGGGGAGGAGCUGGAGCUGCUGUGGAGAUAUCACCGGAGAAGGCCGGUCUGUGGUUCUGGUGAUGACGGGGACGACUCUGUGGGCGCUGCUGUGCCCAACGGAGGGGAGCUUGUCUGGUGCGUGCAGCGGCCUGUGAUGGCUGCCGGUCGGUCGGCUAGAGAAGAAAAUCAGAACCAGGGGGGUUGUUUCGGAGGAAAGAGAUGAGUGUGGCUCAGCUAAUCUUGGUGAUGAUGAGAGGGAGAGGGGACGGUGAUGGCUAGCUUUGGCCGUGUGUGGGAAUGGGCGGCUGUUUUUGAGAAGGAGAGAGAGGGUGCAGUGGCGGGGG